Molecule: long non-coding RNA, 3039 nt
Filed under: Homo sapiens (human)
Lineage: Eukaryota; Metazoa; Chordata; Mammalia; Primates; Hominidae
Description: non-protein coding lnc-KCNQ2-3:1
Source: RNAcentral
AGCUGCGUCCUGCGGGUGUUGGUUCUGUUUCCAUCCGCUCCCCCUCCUUCCCUCCAGCCGGGGCCAUGUCCCCAGGCUUGGGGAUUCUCUGACAGUGACCACCGGAAAGUCCCAGCACCCAAGCUUGGCUGAGUCCUUGGGAGCCCUACCCGGCUGCAGCCGUGUCUGCUUUAAUAAAAUGCAAAACACUUCAUUUCUUUUUCAAUUUAAAAGGAAAAUGGUUCAUCUCAAGAGUUCAUCUCAGGAGACAAGGACUGUGCCGAGUGUCGCCUCCUGCCUGGAGUGACCCUGGGCGGGGACCCCUGGGUCUGCCGUCAGCCAGCAGAGAGAGGGAGCUGCACCAGCCUCUCACAUGAGCAGGAGCACCUAUGGAGCACCUGCUGCAUGCAGUGGGGGCAGGGAAAGAGGUGAGGCCGCACCUGCUGGAGGGGGACUGAAGGGCGAGCAGGGUCUGGGGGUGGCUCUGAGGGUGGAGAGCACACGGCGCCCGGUCUCUCCGCAAUGCCAUCCUUCGUGGCCCUGGAUGUGCUCCCUGCCUCGGAUGUCACCUCGUGCCUCUCUGCGUGCCGGGUUGGUCCCUGCAGCCUCAUGAGGAGUGGUCGCUUGGCCUCGGUUUGGCCUGCACUGUCCUCCGGCCUCACGUGGCCUUGUCUUCACACCCAGCGUGGUCAUGUCUUGGGAGCCCGUCACCCACGCACGCCUCAGGGUGGAGCCCCCGCCUGGACUCAGGACCCCGGGCACCACACCCAGGCGGUGGCCCCAGACCCUCCCCUGUCCAAACAGGAGAUCUCUCAUAAUGCAGCCAGGUGGUGUCCGGGGGACUGAGGCCCACCAGCGCCUCCGCCUUUUCCCGGCCUGAUGGCGAAUUCUGGUGCUGCUUCCUCAGCCUUGGCUCAGAUGCCAUCCUGCCGCUGCAGGAUUUGCCUUCUGCUCUGCAUCCUGGCUCUGUCAUCAGCAGCCCUGGUCUCAAGGGGAGGCCCCCUGGGCGCACCAGCUCCCGCGUGUCUCAGAGGCUAUGCAGACAAGAGUCCCUGGACUGGGCUGUGUUUGCUGGGGCUCCUUCCCUCCAGCGACGAGUCCCCAGAUCAUCUCCCGGGUGUGCCUCAGUUCUCAAAGGUCCUGGCAGCCCCUCUGCGCCAGGCAGUGGCCGCACGCCAGCAGCCUCCUCCCACAGCCCAGGAGCUGGAGGAAACAGCUCAGCCAAGCCGCGCCACCAGCUAGAGCCGGGACUCCCUCCUUGACAUUCAGAGCUGCUAAGUUUUCCUGCGCACGGUUGGUUUGACAUUUGCAUUGGAAUGGAUUUAUGUUAACUUCCUCCCUGCUGCUGGCCGGAGACCAAAUCCUGCUGGUUGCUCAGGCAGUGAUCCCCGGAUGGGCCACCUGCCUCAUUGCCUGCCCUGCCAGAGGGAGGCUCUGGGACCUGAGACCACCCAGGCGCAGACUUGGUGCUGUGUAGCUCAUGGAGCGGCCCCGCCUCUGCUCCCACCGAGCCCUCCAGCCCCCUUGUCUUGGAAGGACGCAGCUCCCCUUCCUGGCCCUCCCCCAACCCCAAGUCCUCGCCCAAGCGCUGCUUCCUCUAUGAAGCUUCCCUGAGCGGCCCUCUUGGAGGGUCACUGUUCCCUGGCAAAUUCUGACCACACCUGGCUCCUCCAUCAUUUCAUGGACGCAGCCCUGGUCAGCUCCACUUGGGUCGGGGCUGACGUGGCUCAUUCCCUUGCACCCCAGCACAGCGCAGGACAGGCUAUUCAGCUGGUGUCCAGUCCGCCUGUGCUGUAUGCUCCCUGCAGCCGGGAGCAGCCACCACGCAUCCAUCCACCCUUCCGUCCUCCCUGAGGGCUGGCACUGCCUCCCGGAUCCUGCCGCGUACACAGCAGGUGCAGAAUGGGUGCUCGCUAACUCCAUGGGACGACGGGGUGUCAAACCUGCAGCCACCAGCUUCUGACGGGAGAUUUGCUGAGAGCCUGCAAGUCCCACGGGCCUACUGGGGGGCUGUGCACAGAGAGCCUAGGGGGCCAUGGCCCAGCCCUGGCACUCCCCGCCCACAGCAAUUAUUGCCCCAGGAGCCAGGCCCAGCCUGCACCUCCACACCGGCCCUGCUCCUUCCUCCUCUAGGUCCAGGCCCCAGGAGCCAGGCCCAGCCUGCGCCCCCACACCGGCCCUGCUCCUUCCUCCUCUGGGCCCAGGCCCCAGGAGCCAGGCCCAGCCUGCGCCCCCACACCGGCCCUGCUCCUUCCUCCUCUAGGUCCAGGCCCCAGGAGCCAGGCCCAGCCUGCGCCCCCACACCGGCCCUGCUCCUUCCUCCUCUGGGCCCAGGCCCCAGGAGCUGGGCCCAGGCCCCAGGAGCCAGGCCCAGCCUGCGCCCCCACAAUGGCCCUGCUCCUUCCUCCUCUAGGCCCAGGCGCCCGCCUGACACAUGUCCACCAUGUUCACCUUGCCUGUGUCACACAUGAGAAGACUGAGACUCAGUGAGGGCCCAGCAGAGCGGGUGGAGCUGGUCAGCCCGGCUGUGCCCUGACAUGUGGGGGUGGGGGGUGUGGAAUCCUAAUGAGGGAAAAGGAGUCGGGCUGGCAGGACAGAGGGAAGGCAAAAAGAAGAAGCAAAGAAGCUUUAAGUCUGCCCUUCUUCACUGUCCAGGACACACAGCCCUCCUGAAGAAAUAACUCACAAUCUUCCUGUGCCCGGCUAUUGCCAGACCCUUGGCUGAUAGGAGAAUGGAUGUUAGCUGACUGCAACCUUGGCGUUAUCAGUACUGCCUGUGGCCCUCUCCAGCACACAGCACAGGCGCCGUCCUAUAACAUCCCCAGCAAGCCCUCAUUUCUUUGCAGUGGCUCCUCCCUUGCUGACCUGCCCCUUGCUUCGGCUCCUCCCUUGCUGACCUGCCCCUUGCUUCGGCUCCUCCCUUGCUGACCUGCCCCUUGCUUCGGCUCCUCCCUUGCUGACCUGCCCCUUGCUUCGGCUCCUCCCUUGCUGACCUGCCCGUUGCUUCUGUGCUAUGCACAUUUUCUACUUUCUCUAAUAAAUCUGCCUUUCUUUACCUAC